AUGUCUGUCUGUGUGUGUCAGUAUGUGUGUGUGUGUGUGUGUCAGUAUGUCUGACACACACACAGACAGACAUACUGACACACACACAGACAUACAUACUGACACAGACA
This 110-nucleotide microRNA precursor is filed under the name Pelobates cultripes (western spadefoot toad). Lineage: Eukaryota; Metazoa; Chordata; Amphibia; Anura; Pelobatidae. The record is from RNAcentral.